Molecule: small RNA, 132 nt
Filed under: Anaerolineae bacterium
Lineage: Bacteria; Bacillati; Chloroflexota; Anaerolineae
Description: c-di-AMP sequence
Rfam family: c-di-AMP riboswitch aptamer (ydaO/yuaA leader)
About the family: This family represents a conserved RNA structure found upstream of the ydaO and yuaA genes in Bacillus subtilis and related genes in other bacteria. The ydaO/yuaA element is thought to act as a genetic "off" switch for the ydaO and yuaA genes in its native state.
Source: RNAcentral
CAUAUAUCUUCGCCCAAGCAAUCAGCGCGGGGGACCCAGCGACUUCUGGGGUGAAUCUGGGUUAUACCAGUAGGGUCAUACUUUUGGAACCCGAACUCGUCAGCUAACCCCGUCGGCGUGCCAAAAGCCCUG